ACGAACGCUGGCGGCGUGCUUAACACAUGCAAGUCGAACGGAAAGGCCUGCUUUCCCUUGUGGAUUGCGGGUGCUCGAGUGGCGAACGGGUGAGUAACACGUGAGUGAUCUGCCCCCAACUUGGGUAUAAGCCUGGGAAACUGGGUCUAAUUCCCGAUAGGACUGCAGGGUGGUGCCUGUGGUGGAAAACGAUUUUCUAGUGGUUGGGGAUGAGCUCGCGGCCUAUCAGCUUGUUGGUGGGGUAAUGGCCUACCAAGGCGGCGACGGGUAGCCGGCCUGAGAGGGUGGACGGCCACAUUGGGACUGAGAUGCGGCCCAGACUCCUACGGGAGGCAGCAGUGGGGAAUAUUGCACAAUGGGCGGAAGCCUUAUGCAGCGACGCCGCGUGGGGGAUGACGGCCUUCGGGUUGUAAACUCCUUUCGACCGCGAGGAAGCCACCUGGUUGGAAGGGUGGUGACGGUAGUGGUAGAAGAAGCACCGGCUAACUACGUG
This 493-nucleotide ribosomal RNA is filed under the name uncultured bacterium. RNAcentral's name for it is "partial 16S ribosomal RNA". It matches the Rfam family "Bacterial small subunit ribosomal RNA", at positions 29 to 507 of the family's 1533-position model. The record is from RNAcentral.